This is a non-coding RNA of Heterocephalus glaber (naked mole-rat), 93 nucleotides long. The record is from Rfam. NCBI's taxonomy places the organism in Eukaryota, Metazoa, Chordata, Mammalia, Rodentia, Bathyergidae.
GGGGAGUACAAAAUGGAUGUGGGAGUACGGAGUCACCUCUGGGCCUGGCAGAGAGGCCCAUUUAAACAUUUACAGCCUUGGGUCUCCUGAAUU